RNAcentral lists this ribosomal RNA (216 nucleotides) under Glomeromycotina sp. RNAcentral describes it as "partial small subunit ribosomal RNA". The stretch from base 44 to 216 matches the Rfam family "Eukaryotic small subunit ribosomal RNA", at positions 690 to 864 of the family's 1831-position model. The record is from RNAcentral. Lineage: Eukaryota; Fungi; Glomeromycota.
GGGUCAGUAGGUUGGUCGUGCCACCGGUACGUACUGGUCUCACUGAUUCCUCCUUCCUGAAGAACCGUAAUGCCAUUAAUUUGGUGCUGCGGGGAAACAGGACUGUUACUUCGAAAAAAUUAGAGUGUUUAAAGCAAGCUAACGCUUGAAUACAUUAGCAUGGAAUAAUGAAAUAGGACGAUCGAUCCUAUUUUGUUGGUUUCUAGGAUUGACGUA